RNAcentral lists this ribosomal RNA (253 nucleotides) under uncultured bacterium. RNAcentral describes it as "partial 16S ribosomal RNA". It matches the Rfam family "Bacterial small subunit ribosomal RNA", at positions 524 to 776 of the family's 1533-position model. The record is from RNAcentral.
UACGGAAUGUGCAAACGUUAUUCGGAAUCACUGGGCUUAAAGAGUCCGUAGGCGGCAUGUUAGGUGAGGUGUGAAAUCCCCCGGCUCAACCGAGGAAUUGCGCUUCAAACUGGCGUGCUUGAGGAAGAUAGAGGUGGGCGGAACUGAUGGUGGAGCGGUGAAAUGCGCAGAUAUCGGGAGGAACAUCAGUAGCGAAGGCGGUUCUCUGGGCCGGUACUGACGCUGAGGAGCGAAAGCGUGGGUAGCGAACAGG